Lolium perenne is the source of this 374-nucleotide long non-coding RNA. RefSeq lists it as uncharacterized. Lineage: Eukaryota; Viridiplantae; Streptophyta; Magnoliopsida; Poales; Poaceae. The record is from RefSeq and is a predicted model, not a curated record.
AUGGCGCAGAAGGUGUGCAGCCACCGCCUUUUCUGUUUCCUUCGCUUCCGGUUGUAGUGGACGGCUAUUUAUGGCCUGCCCACCUCCUCUCCAAUAGCUCAUCCUCGAUGCCUAGCGAUUAUGGAGGCGACGACGACGGUCGACAGAGCUAUGGCGACGUCAACGAUGGGUGAUGAGGAGGAGGCGGAGGCGGCAGGACGCAAAGCAGGAUCAUGACGAGGUGGGGCAGCUGCUCGCCGGCCCAAGAGGACGAAGUGGCGUAUCCUUGAUGUAAUAGAAAGAUGAUACAUUAAGAAAAAACUUUAUAACCAUGUAUGUUGUAAUAGUGUAACGAGCUAUGACUACCUGAUCUGUCACAUUUUCACUUCCCUGCA